GUGAAGUUGGAUGAUUACCGUUCAUUGCAUUUUUUAAGUACUGCUUGGAGCUCGAGUAUAGAAUUUUAUCAUGGAUACUUGCUUCAUCAGGAGCCCUGGAAUGAGGAGAAAUCAUUAUUCACUUUCCAUUUCCAAGGGUUCGUGUGUGCGGUUGGGAUAAUUUCAUGGACUUUUACUACCUGGGCAAACUACGGCCCCUGGGCCAGAUGCGACCCACCAGGCUUUUAAGUCCGACCCCCCAAACACUGGCUCCAGGACCCACUCACGCACCCACCGUGGGUCUCAUCCACUUGAUGCCUCGCACUUUAUGAGAGUUCGGCCCCAGCUCAUUGAAGCCCAACGAUGAAGGCAGCGCCUCGAAGCAGUCGUCCUCGAACAGCCGCCCUCUC
This is a long non-coding RNA of Cynoglossus semilaevis (tongue sole), 389 nucleotides long. RefSeq lists it as uncharacterized. The record is from RefSeq and is a predicted model, not a curated record. NCBI's taxonomy places the organism in Eukaryota, Metazoa, Chordata, Actinopteri, Pleuronectiformes, Cynoglossidae. The transcript has 4 exons.